This 384-nucleotide long non-coding RNA is filed under the name Phasianus colchicus (ring-necked pheasant). Its description in RNAcentral is "lncRNA (ENSPCLG00000016936.1)". The record is from RNAcentral. Lineage: Eukaryota; Metazoa; Chordata; Aves; Galliformes; Phasianidae.
AGCUGAAGUUUUCGACCAAAAGCCAUAAGCUUGGAGCUAAUCAUCUAUGUAAAUGGUAUGUCACAGUACUGCCCAGGGCUCGUCUAUGUUCAGUAAGCAAAGAGAAAUUUGCCUAGAGACAAAGCAGAACUGAAGCAAGUUUCCUGCGUAGGAGAGGUAUUUCAGUGUAGCUCUGUGCAAGAAGAGUUGGAUGGACUUGAAAUCUGGUGUGGCUUUCAUCAGCUCUUGAGUUUGGCCCGUGGUGUGCAGCAGCCUUGUGGCAAGUGGAAGUGGGCAGCUGAGACCCAGUACAGUGGAGCUGCAGAGGGUAAAGCCAACAUGCUGAGAAGAUAUGUGCUGUCAGUCUGAAGCACCCUAGAAAUAAAAACAAGGGUUUUAAAAACA